AAUAGAUACCCAGGUAGUCCACGCCGUAAACGAUGAGUGCUAAGUGUUAGGGGGUUUCCGCCCCUUAGUGCUGCAGCUAACGCAUUAAGCACUCCGCCUGGGGAGUACGGUCGCAAGACUGAAACUCAAAGGAAUUGACGGGGGCCCGCACAAGCGGUGGAGCAUGUGGUUUAAUUCGAAGCAACGCGAAGAACCUUACCAGGUCUUGACAUCCCAUUGACCACUAUGGAGACAUAGUUUUCCCUUCGGGGACAACGGUGACAGGUGGUGCAUGGUUGUCGUCAGCUCGUGUCGUGAGAUGUUGGGUUAAGUCCCGCAACGAGCGCAACCCUUGUUCUUAGUUGCCAUCAUUUAGUUGGGCACUCUAAGGAGACUGCCGGUGACAAACCGGAGGAAGGUGGGGAUAACGGUCAAAUCAUCAUGCCCCUUAUGACCUGGGCUACACACGUGCUACAAUGGACGGUACAAACGGUUGCCAACCCGGCAGGGGGGAGCUAAAUCCGAUAAAACCGGUUCUCAGUUCGGAUUGUAGGCUGCAACUCGCCUACAUGAAGGCCGG
Molecule: ribosomal RNA, 559 nt
Filed under: uncultured bacterium
Lineage: Bacteria
Description: bacterial SSU rRNA
Rfam family: Bacterial small subunit ribosomal RNA
Source: RNAcentral